This 1158-nucleotide long non-coding RNA is filed under the name Cyanistes caeruleus (blue tit). RNAcentral describes it as "lncRNA (ENSCCEG00000005637.1)". The record is from RNAcentral. Lineage: Eukaryota; Metazoa; Chordata; Aves; Passeriformes; Paridae.
CUUUUUCCUGCCACUGUUCCCACCUUCCCUACAAAAUUCCCCACGUUUGCUCCACGGUGAGAAAUGGAUUGUUUAGGAAAACAACUUUGCUGUGUUUCUGUACCCAGGGCAGGAAAUGAAGAGUGAAAUCCCCUCUUUUCUCCUCAGCCUCCUGAAGGAGGUGAACGAUGAGCUCCAAAUUCAUGUGCUAGCAGCUGGGCUGGGACAGAGCCCUACACAAACACCUCAUUUAUUCUCCCUAUCACUGAAGGAGAAAGACUCAGCAUCCAAAUCACCUGAAUUUGGUGCUGACCAGCUCUAAUUCCACUUUUCCAGACCUUGAUUAUGAGGAGUUUCUCUAGGAAAAGUAAAAUUUUGGCCAUUUCCUUCAUUAUCCGUACAAUAAUUCACAAUGCAUCAACAGGGAUUCAUUUUGCUUUGGAAAAUAUUAAAAUAAAGACGAGAAAUGCAGUGUUUUAUCCACUGGUAUUGCAGUGUUACCUCUUGGACAAAUAAAAAAAGCAAAUAGAGAUGAAUUAAUCGAAUUAAUUCUGUUUUUGCAGCAGGAAUUACUGCUCAGGAAGGAGAGUUGAGAGCAGUGGACCCUGCAGCCCUUUCUCCCAGGGAGUUUGUGGUGUUCCAGUACGGCCUCUCCAUCCUAAAAUUCCUCACGUUUCACAUUCAAGCUCCAGGAAUCACCCUGGCUGUUGCCUCCAGCCUCCCCCAGAGCCAUGCCCCAGGCAAUGCCUUCAGGAAUUCUUUCUUUUAUCAGAAUUCCAAGAAGAAACUCUUCAUCCUGAGGGAUUGCCUGGGCUCUGGGGGAGGUUUCCUGCUGGUCCUGGUGCACUGCUUGGCUCACAUCACUGCUGGGGACCUCAGCCACGACACCAACCCCCUCUUCCUGAGCCUUUUCCACCAGGCUCUGAAGGCCUGUCUCAGUGAGAUGUUCUCCCUCAGGCUGCAGCUCUCAGCAGCUCCCCAGGGGGAUAAAUCCCAGGGGAUAAAGCAGAUGCUGCUCAAGGAGGAGCCAUUCUCCACAGAGGAAAUAAACCUCAUCUCCCAACUUUUUGAAGUGAGAGUGAAAAGUCAAACAGACAUGGAAGCCUUUGAGAAGGUAACAAGAACAAAAUAGAACCAGACCUGGCUGAAAUUAUCCACUAUCCCUAAUUUUUUUUAGUU